GGGAAGUAAAAAAAUCGUAACAAGGUUUCCGUAGGUGAACCUGCGG
RNAcentral lists this ribosomal RNA (46 nucleotides) under Eriocheir sinensis (Chinese mitten crab). Its description in RNAcentral is "partial 18S ribosomal RNA". Lineage: Eukaryota; Metazoa; Arthropoda; Malacostraca; Decapoda; Varunidae. The record is from RNAcentral.